UGCCCCUGACUCUGGGAUAAGCGGUGGAAACGCCGUCUAAUACCGGAUACGACCCGCCACCUCAUGGUGGAGGGUGGAAAGUUUUUCGGUCAGGGAUGGGCUCGCGGCCUAUCAGCUUGUUGGUGGGGUAACGGCCUACCAAGGCGAUUACGGGUAGCCGGCCUGAGAGGGCGACCGGCCACACUGGGACUGAGACACGGCCCAGACUCCUGCGGGAGGCAGCAGUGGGGAAUAUUGCGCAAUGGGCGAAAGCCUGACGCA
This 261-nucleotide ribosomal RNA is filed under the name Nocardiopsis sp. RNAcentral's name for it is "partial 16S ribosomal RNA". It matches the Rfam family "Bacterial small subunit ribosomal RNA", at positions 127 to 390 of the family's 1533-position model. Lineage: Bacteria; Bacillati; Actinomycetota; Actinomycetes; Streptosporangiales; Nocardiopsidaceae. The record is from RNAcentral.